Molecule: ribosomal RNA, 492 nt
Filed under: uncultured bacterium
Lineage: Bacteria
Description: partial 16S ribosomal RNA
Rfam family: Bacterial small subunit ribosomal RNA
Source: RNAcentral
CGUGAACGCUGGCGGUAGGCCUAACACAUGCAAGUCGAACGGCAGCACAGUAAGAGCUUGCUCUUACGGGUGGCGAGUGGCGGACGGGUGAGGAAUAAAUCGGAAUCUACUUUUUCGUGGGGGAUAACGUAGGGAAACUUACGCUAAUACCGCAUACGACCUACGGGUGAAAGCAGGGGAUCUUCGGACCUUGCGCGAUUGAAUGAGCCGAUGUCGGAUUAGCUAGUUGGCGGGGUAAAGGCCCACCAAGGCGACGAUCCGUAGCUGGUCUGAGAGGAUGAUCAGCCACACUGGAACUGAGACACGGUCCAGACUCCUACGGGAGGCAGCAGUGGGGAAUAUUGGACAAUGGGCGCAAGCCUGAUCCAGCCAUACCGCGUGGGUGAAGAAGGCCUUCGGGUUGUAAAGCCCUUUUGUUGGGAAAGAAAAGCAGCAGGUUAAUACCCCGCUGUUCUGACGGUACCCAAAGAAUAAGCACCGGCUAACUUCGUG